Molecule: ribosomal RNA, 930 nt
Filed under: uncultured Cyphobasidiales
Lineage: Eukaryota; Fungi; Basidiomycota; Cystobasidiomycetes; Cyphobasidiales
Description: SSU rRNA
Rfam family: Eukaryotic small subunit ribosomal RNA
Source: RNAcentral
GAGAUAGUGACAAUAAAUAACAAUAUAGGGCUCUUAUGGGUCUUAUAAUUGGAAUGAGUACAAUUUAAAUCCCUUAACGAGGAUCAAUUGGAGGGCAAGUCUGGUGCCAGCAGCCGCGGUAAUUCCAGCUCCAAUAGCGUAUAUUAAAGUUGUUGCCGUUAAAAAGCUCGUAGUCGAACUUCGGCCUUUGCCGCCCGGUCCGCCUAUUUGGGUGUGUACUGGAGCGGUGGAGGCUUACCUCGUGGUGAGCAAUCAUACCCUUUAUUGGGCGUGGUUGGGAACCAUGAUUUUUACUUUGAAAAAAUUAGAGUGUUCAAAGCAGGCUUAUGCCCGAAUACAUUAGCAUGGAAUAAUAAAAUAGGACGUGCGGUUCUAUUUUGUUGGUUUCUAGGAUCGCCGUAAUGAUUAAUAGGGAUAGUUGGGGGCAUUCGUAUUCAAUUGCUAGAGGUGAAAUUCUUGGAUUUAUUGAAGACGAACUACUGCGAAAGCAUUUGCCAAGGAUGUUUUCAUUGAUCAAGAACGAAGGUUAGGGGAUCGAAAACGAUCAGAUACCGUUGUAGUCUUAACAGUAAACGAUGCCGACUAGGGAUCGGACGAGGAUUUUUAAUGACUCGUUCGGCACCUGAAGAGAAAUCUUUAAGUCUAGGUUCGGGGGGGAGUAUGGUCGCAAGGCUGAAACUUAAAGGAAUUGACGGAAGGGCACCACCAGGUGUGGAGCCUGCGGCUUAAUUUGACUCAACACGGGGAAACUCACCAGGUCCAGACACGACAAGGAUUGACAGAUUGAUAGCUCUUUCUUGAUUUCGUGGUUGGUGGUGCAUGGCCGUUCUUAGUUGGUGGAGUGAUUUGUCUGGUUAAUUCCGAUAACGAACGAGACCUUAACCUGCUAAAUAGCCCGGCCGGCUUUGGCUGGUCGCUGGCUUCUUAGAG